Long non-coding RNA from Xenopus laevis (African clawed frog), 177 nucleotides. RefSeq lists it as uncharacterized. Lineage: Eukaryota; Metazoa; Chordata; Amphibia; Anura; Pipidae. The record is from RefSeq and is a predicted model, not a curated record. The transcript has 2 exons.
UACUACUGAACCCUCUACUAGUACUACAUCUCUUGAGAAUACUACUACAAAACCACUCACUACUACUGCUACUGAAAAAUCAACAACCACUGUACCCACAACUACUGUGGUUUCUUCAGGAAAAACCUCAACAACUGAUUCUGCCAAUCCUUCCACUACAACUGAACAACUUACAGG